ACACUCCUGCGGGAGGCAGCAGUGGGGAAUAUUGGACAAUGGGCGCAAGCCUGAUCCAGCCAUGCCGCGUGAGUGAUGAAGGCCCUAGGGUUGUAAAGCUCUUUCACCGGUGAAGAUAAUGACGGUAACCGGAGAAGAAGCCCCGGCUAACUUCGUGCCAGCAGCCGCGGUAAUACGAAGGGGGCUAGCGUUGUUCGGAUUUACUGGGCGUAAAGCGCACGUAGGCGGACUAUUAAGUCAGGGGUGAAAUCCCGGGGCUCAACCCCGGAACUGCCUUUGAUACUGGUAGUCUUGAGUUCGAGAGAGGUGAGUGGAAUUCCGAGUGUAGAGGUGAAAUUCGUAGAUAUUCGAAGGAACACCAGUGGCGAAGGCGGCUCACUGGCUCGAUACUGACGCUGAGGUGCGAAAGCGUGGGGAGCAAACAGGAUUAGAAACCCUUGUAGUCCC
This 447-nucleotide ribosomal RNA is filed under the name uncultured organism. Its description in RNAcentral is "partial 16S ribosomal RNA". It matches the Rfam family "Bacterial small subunit ribosomal RNA", at positions 333 to 797 of the family's 1533-position model. The record is from RNAcentral.